AUGUUGAAACACCUGUUCCCAUACAAUCGCCAAAGUUAAGCAACAUCAAGCCUGGUCAGUACCUAGAUGGGUGACUGCCUGGGAAUAUAAGUUGCUGA
Molecule: non-coding RNA, 98 nt
Organism: Acanthosepion pharaonis
Lineage: Eukaryota; Metazoa; Mollusca; Cephalopoda; Sepiida; Sepiidae
Source: the annotation of a GenBank genome assembly